RNAcentral lists this ribosomal RNA (338 nucleotides) under uncultured bacterium. RNAcentral describes it as "partial 16S ribosomal RNA". It matches the Rfam family "Bacterial small subunit ribosomal RNA", at positions 338 to 668 of the family's 1533-position model. The record is from RNAcentral.
CCUACGGGAGGCUGCAGUAGGGAAUCUUCCACAAUGGGCGAAAGCCUGAUGGAGCAACGCCGCGUGGGUGAAGAAGGUCUUCGGAUCGUACAACUCUGUUGGUAGGGAAGAAAGUGCGUGAGAGUAACUGUUCACGUUUCGACGGUAUCUAAACAGAAAGCCACGGCUAACUACGUGACAGCAGCCGCGGUAAUACGUAGGUGGCAAGCGUUAUCCGGAUUGAUUGGGCGGAAAGGGAACGCAGGCGGUCUUAUAAGUAUGAUGUGAAAGACUUGGGCUUAACCGGGGUAGUGCCUUUAAUACUGUUGAACUAGAGUGUAGAUGCGGAAGGCGGAAUG